This 1570-nucleotide ribosomal RNA is filed under the name Escherichia coli. RNAcentral's name for it is "partial 23S ribosomal RNA". It matches the Rfam family "Bacterial large subunit ribosomal RNA", at positions 323 to 1882 of the family's 2925-position model. The record is from RNAcentral. Lineage: Bacteria; Pseudomonadati; Pseudomonadota; Gammaproteobacteria; Enterobacterales; Enterobacteriaceae.
UGUGUGUUAGUGGAAGCGUCUGGAAAGGCGCGCGAUACAGGGUGACAGCCCCGUACACAAAAAUGCACAUGCUGUGAGCUCGAUGAGUAGGGCGGGACACGUGGUAUCCUGUCUGAAUAUGGGGGGACCAUCCUCCAAGGCUAAAUACUCCUGACUGACCGAUAGUGAACCAGUACCGUGAGGGAAAGGCGAAAAGAACCCCGGCGAGGGGAGUGAAAAAGAACCUGAAACCGUGUACGUACAAGCAGUGGGAGCACGCUUAGGCGUGUGACUGCGUACCUUUUGUAUAAUGGGUCAGCGACUUAUAUUCUGUAGCAAGGUUAACCGAAUAGGGGAGCCGAAGGGAAACCGAGUCUUAACUGGGCGUUAAGUUGCAGGGUAUAGACCCGAAACCCGGUGAUCUAGCCAUGGGCAGGUUGAAGGUUGGGUAACACUAACUGGAGGACCGAACCGACUAAUGUUGAAAAAUUAGCGGAUGACUUGUGGCUGGGGGUGAAAGGCCAAUCAAACCGGGAGAUAGCUGGUUCUCCCCGAAAGCUAUUUAGGUAGCGCCUCGUGAAUUCAUCUCCGGGGGUAGAGCACUGUUUCGGCAAGGGGGUCAUCCCGACUUACCAACCCGAUGCAAACUGCGAAUACCGGAGAAUGUUAUCACGGGAGACACACGGCGGGUGCUAACGUCCGUCGUGAAGAGGGAAACAACCCAGACCGCCAGCUAAGGUCCCAAAGUCAUGGUUAAGUGGGAAACGAUGUGGGAAGGCCCAGACAGCCAGGAUGUUGGCUUAGAAGCAGCCAUCAUUUAAAGAAAGCGUAAUAGCUCACUGGUCGAGUCGGCCUGCGCGGAAGAUGUAACGGGGCUAAACCAUGCACCGAAGCUGCGGCAGCGACACUAUGUGUUGUUGGGUAGGGGAGCGUUCUGUAAGCCUGUGAAGGUGUGCUGUGAGGCAUGCUGGAGGUAUCAGAAGUGCGAAUGCUGACAUAAGUAACGAUAAAGCGGGUGAAAAGCCCGCUCGCCGGAAGACCAAGGGUUCCUGUCCAACGUUAAUCGGGGCAGGGUGAGUCGACCCCUAAGGCGAGGCCGAAAGGCGUAGUCGAUGGGAAACAGGUUAAUAUUCCUGUACUUGGUGUUACUGCGAAGGGGGGACGGAGAAGGCUAUGUUGGCCGGGCGACGGUUGUCCCGGUUUAAGCGUGUAGGCUGGUUUUCCAGGCAAAUCCGGAAAAUCAAGGCUGAGGCGUGAUGACGAGGCACUACGGUGCUGAAGCAACAAAUGCCCUGCUUCCAGGAAAAGCCUCUAAGCAUCAGGUAACAUCAAAUCGUACCCCAAACCGACACAGGUGGUCAGGUAGAGAAUACCAAGGCGCUUGAGAGAACUCGGGUGAAGGAACUAGGCAAAAUGGUGCCGUAACUUCGGGAGAAGGCACGCUGAUAUGUAGGUGAAGUCCCUCGCGGAUGGAGCUGAAAUCAGUCGAAGAUACCAGCUGGCUGCAACUGUUUAUUAAAAACACAGCACUGUGCAAACACGAAAGUGGACGUAUACGGUGUGACGCCUGCCCGGUGCCGGAAGGUUAAUU